GAUGAACGCUGGCGGCGUGCCUAAUACAUGCAAGUCGAGCGAACAGACGAGGAGCUUGCUCCUCUGACGUUAGCGGCGGACGGGUGAGUAACACGUGGAUAACCUACCUAUAAGACUGGGAUAACUUCGGGAAACCGGAGCUAAUACCGGAUAAUAUAUUGAACCGCAUGGUUCAAUAGUGAAAGACGGUUUUGCUGUCACUUAUAGAUGGAUCCGCGCCGCAUUAGCUAGUUGGUAAGGUAACGGCCUACCAAGGCAACGAUGCGUAGCCGACCUGAGAGGGGGAUCGACCACACGGGAACUGAGACACGGUCCAGACCCCUACGGGAGGCAGCAGUAGGGAAUCUUCCGCAAUGGGCGAAAGCCUGACGGAGCAACGCCGCGUGAGUGAUGAAGGUCUUCGGAUCGUAAAACUCUGUUAUUAGGGAAGAACAAAUGUGUAAGUAACUAUGCACGUCUUGACGGUACCUAAUCAGAAAGCCACGGCUAACUACGUG
This 497-nucleotide ribosomal RNA is filed under the name uncultured bacterium. Its description in RNAcentral is "partial 16S ribosomal RNA". It matches the Rfam family "Bacterial small subunit ribosomal RNA", at positions 28 to 507 of the family's 1533-position model. The record is from RNAcentral.